UUUAAACUUUUAGUUAAUUGUUUUUGUUUUCGUUUCGGUUGUUUUUUUCGAUCUCAAGUUCUCUAUUUUCGAUUUUUUUGAAUGAUCUUCGGUUCUCCAACUUCUCCUCCAAGCCGUCAAAGCUCAAAGGUAAUUUUCUGUUAAUUGUUUUUUUGUUUUAGUUUCGAUUUUUUCUAUUUUUUAAAUACAGUUUUUGCUGUUUAUUUUUGUUGUUGUUCUUGCUUGAUAAUAAUCUUAAUAUGCCUAAGAUUUUUGUUGUUAAUUUCUAUUUUUGAUUUGUUUUUUUUUUUUACGGGAAAGGGUAGAUCCGUAGAUCGAUAGAUUUGUCGUUGACUUGUUGUUUAAUUUAUAUUUCUGUUUUCUUUUUCUAACAUUUGCAAAUCAGAUAUUAAGAUUAACAUUUUAUGUUGUUGAUUUGUUGUUCAUAUCCUCAACUACACUUUUCGGUCGAUCUGCAAUUCUCCAUUUUCAAAUCUUUCACCUUCAUCUUCAAAUCUUCCUCUGCUUCCGAGCAGUUAUGGACACCCAUCACCCAUGUACAAUAGCUUUCUUCUAGGAAUAUGAGAAGAUUCAGGAGAUUGUAACUUUAAAUACAUUUGUUUCUUUUUAAUUAUGGUUUGUAAUUUGUUAAGACUUUAUUUUGGUAUGUAAUAAUUAAUUAGGCAUUUAGACUUCUUAUACUUUAUUUGGUUUUAUUGAAAAUUUAAGUUUGAAAA
Long non-coding RNA from Chenopodium quinoa (quinoa), 716 nucleotides. RefSeq lists it as uncharacterized. The transcript is spliced from 2 exons. The record is from RefSeq and is a predicted model, not a curated record. Lineage: Eukaryota; Viridiplantae; Streptophyta; Magnoliopsida; Caryophyllales; Amaranthaceae.